This 498-nucleotide ribosomal RNA is filed under the name uncultured bacterium. RNAcentral describes it as "bacterial SSU rRNA". It matches the Rfam family "Bacterial small subunit ribosomal RNA", at positions 28 to 508 of the family's 1533-position model. The record is from RNAcentral.
GACGAACGCUGGCGGCGUGCCUAAUACAUGCAAGUCGAGCGAAUAUCAGAGGAGCUUGCUCCUCUGAUAUUAGCGGCGGAUGGGUGAGUAACACGUGGGCAACCUGCCCUGCAGUUGGGGAUAACUCCGGGAAACCGGGGCUAAUACCGAAUAAUCAGUUCCUUCGCAUGAAGGAACUCUGAAAGACGGCUAUGCUGUCACUGCAGGAUGGGCCCGCGGCGCAUUAGCUAGUUGGUGAGGUAACGGCUUACCAAGGCGACGAUGCGUAGCCGACCUGAGAGGGUGAUCGGCCACACUGGGACUGAGACACGGCCCAGACUCCUACGGGAGGCAGCAGUAGGGAAUCUUCCACAAUGGACGAAAGUCUGAUGGAGCAACGCCGCGUGAGCGAAGAAGGUUUUCGGAUCGUAAAGCUCUGUUGUGAGGGAAGAACAAGUACAGGAGUAACUGCCUGUACCUUGACGGUACCUCAUUAGAAAGCCACGGCUAACUACGUGC